This 583-nucleotide long non-coding RNA is filed under the name Ananas comosus (pineapple). RNAcentral's name for it is "long non-coding RNA (ACOM_LNC009341)". Lineage: Eukaryota; Viridiplantae; Streptophyta; Magnoliopsida; Poales; Bromeliaceae. The record is from RNAcentral.
CGUGCCCUCGGCACAAUCUGUGACCAAAACAAGAAUCUGGGUCCACCGCUAACCCGAACGGCACCCAACGACCCGAAACAGCCUACACUUUGCUGAAAAAUAAGCUCGGCAUCUCAGCACGAGCGUAAAUGCCUUCUAAACUACCCCAGGUAUCCAUCGCAACGAUACUGCAACGAUACAAUCGAAUCACGGCUCCUAGAGCUAAAUCUGGUAGUUUAAGCAUAUGACGGGUCAAAACGCAGGUUUUCUCCUAAGUCAAAUUUCAAGUCCAACAUGUAUAAUAUAAAUAUUCAUUUCAGCAUGCUUUUAUAUUCAUAUUACGUCCAAAAUGCUAAUCGAUGAAUUAAAGCAUGAUAUACCGAAAUCGAACUAUACACGUCGACUAAACAUGCACUUAGGAGCGAAACCGAUGAUACACCCACCUCUAGUGCAAUUCCUGGCAGCAAGAUGGUCUCGGAUCACAAACAACGCUGCUGGAAACACCUCCAAACCAGCAACAAAGCCCCUCAAGAUCUGGAUUUACAAUUCACCCAAAAAUCCAAUAAAAAUCAUCAAUUUCAGCCUUAAGCUUGGAUUUAUCCAA